RNAcentral lists this ribosomal RNA (548 nucleotides) under Cicindela sahlbergi. RNAcentral describes it as "partial 16S ribosomal RNA". The stretch from base 117 to 476 matches the Rfam family "Bacterial large subunit ribosomal RNA", at positions 2075 to 2645 of the family's 2925-position model. Lineage: Eukaryota; Metazoa; Arthropoda; Insecta; Coleoptera; Carabidae. The record is from RNAcentral.
CAUAAUUAUUAGUUUUUUAAUUGAAAGCUUGUAUGAAGGGUUGGACGAGAUAAAAUCUGUCUUUAUUUAAAUUACAAUAGAAUUUAACUUUUAAGUCAAAAGGCUUAAAUGUAUAUAAAAGACGAGAAGACCCUAUAGAUCUUUAUUUAAUUAAUAUUUUGAUAAUUUAAGAUUAUUUUAGUUUAAAGUUUUAAUUAAAUUUUAUUGGGGUAAUAUAAAGAUUAAAUAAAUUCUUUUUAUUUAUUACAUUGAUUUAUGAAUAUAUGAUCCAAUACUAUUGAUUAUAAGAUUAAGUUACCUUAGGGAUAACAGCGUAAUUUUUUUGGAGAGCUCAUAUCGAUAAAAAAGUUUGCGACCUCGAUGUUGGAUUAAAAAUUAGCUUGGGUGCAGAAGCUCAAGAUUUUGGUCUGUUCGACCAUUAAAUUUUUACAUGAUCUGAGUUCAGACCGGCGUAAGCCAGGUCGGUUUCUAUCUUUAUUUAUCUAAAAUAUUUUAGUACGAAAGGACCAAAUAUUUAAUAUAAUUAUAUUUAUUUUUUGAAUAAUAUU